ACGGAGGGUGCAAGCGUUAUUCGGAAUUACUGGGCGUAAAGCGCGUGUAGGCGGUCCUGCAAGUCUGAUGUGAAAGCCCCGGGCUUAACCCGGGAAGUGCAUUGGAAACUGUGGGACUUGAGUACAGGAGAGGAAAGGGGAAUUCCUGGUGUAGCGGUGAAAUUCGUAGAUAUUAGGAGGAACACCAGUGGCGAAGGCGACUAUCUGGACUGUAACUGACACUGAGACACGAAAGCGUGGGGAGCAAACAG
RNAcentral lists this ribosomal RNA (251 nucleotides) under uncultured prokaryote. RNAcentral describes it as "partial 16S rRNA". It matches the Rfam family "Bacterial small subunit ribosomal RNA", at positions 525 to 775 of the family's 1533-position model. The record is from RNAcentral.